GUAUUCGUUUUGGCAGCAUAUAUACUAAAAUUGGAAGGAGAAGAUUAGCAUGGUCCCCUGCCAAAGGAUGACAUGCAAAUCCAUGAAGUGUUCCAUAUAAAA
Molecule: small nuclear RNA, 102 nt
Filed under: Castor canadensis (American beaver)
Lineage: Eukaryota; Metazoa; Chordata; Mammalia; Rodentia; Castoridae
Source: RNAcentral